This 379-nucleotide ribosomal RNA is filed under the name uncultured eukaryote. RNAcentral's name for it is "SSU rRNA". It matches the Rfam family "Eukaryotic small subunit ribosomal RNA", at positions 587 to 972 of the family's 1831-position model. The record is from RNAcentral.
AGCUCCAAUAGCGUAUAUUAAAGUUGUUGCAGUUAGAACGCUCGUAGUCGGAUUUCGGGUCGAUUGUGCCGGUCUGCCGUUGGGUAUGCACUGGUGGAGUCGUCCUUCCUUCCGGAGACCGUGCCUCCUCUUAACUGAGUGGGUGCGGGAGACGGAUCGUUUACUUUGAAAAAUCAGAGUGUUUCAAGCAGGCAUUUGCUCUUGCAUGGAUUAGCAUGGGAUAAUGAAAUAGGACUUUGGUGCUAUUUUGUUGGUUUCGAACACCGAAGUAAUGAUUAAAAGGGACAGUCAGGGGCACUCGUAUUCCGCAGAGAGAGGUGAAAUUCUCAGACCCGCGGAAGACGAACCACUGCGAAAGCAUUUGCCAGGGAUGUUUUCA